GCCAGAGAAUUGGGUUGUCAAAUUCAAUUUGUCUUCCAUUAGUAUUGUAACACUAAACAACAACAUAUUUUUGAACGUGUCAGAUUCCAAUGUCACAUGAAAUGUUAGAUAAAAGACAGCCACACAGAUCUUGUAAAAUGCAUGCACAUGCCAAGGCGUUGGCUGGUUUUGUAGUAUGAAAUUUGUUACCAGCCACGCAACUACCACUCAGUGUUGGUGGGUUGGACCAUGGUCGUAUGUUGUUGUUUUAUUGGGAAAUGAACGUAUGUUUUUCUUUUACGGCUCAAUAACUUCAAAUUUAGCAACAGUACAGUAUUGAACCCAUACCUCCAUGGUACUACCGGGCUAAACUUGCCACUUUGCCAACAACAUAUUACAUCAACAACAUCUAAUAUUCAUGGAUGAAGCAACAACAUAUAAAUUGAUUUACGAAAAGUCAUCAAAUAAGACUAUACAGAUCAAACAAUUAUUAGCAUUCCUCACUAAAAACUAGCGGUUAUGGAUUGUAAUAGGGUUUUGGACAUAGGAGCAGUAUUUUCAACCACUCGUGACUCACCAAAAUCCACUGGACCACAAACCAGGGUAGUAGUAAUAAGGCGCAAUGAAGCCACAUCAAGGUCGCCAUGUUGUGUGACGCGAUCACGAUGACACACGUUUCUAACACGUGCCAACUCCUAUAAAUGGGGCUUUUCUCCUAUAAAUGGGGCUUUUUGCUAAUUUUUUUUAGGAUUCCGAAUUUGAGAUAGAAAAUGACGACUAUGAGCUUUUGUAGCACGAUUUUGAAGAGCAUUAAAGUCAUUGGAGAGUUUACUUUCCAUAGAUUUUGAUGAAUAUAUCAACUCAUAAUAAUUGUAAAUUUCAUUAUGAGUAGCUAAGUUAUUUUAGAUUAGAUCGUUUGAGAUGAACCUAAUUGUAUUUUGUUGGAUCAUAUGACUGUUUGAGAU
Long non-coding RNA from Vicia villosa (hairy vetch), 944 nucleotides. RefSeq lists it as uncharacterized. Lineage: Eukaryota; Viridiplantae; Streptophyta; Magnoliopsida; Fabales; Fabaceae. The record is from RefSeq and is a predicted model, not a curated record. The transcript is spliced from 3 exons.